GUGUGCGCGCUUCAGGGCCAAUUUCAGCAGGACGCUCUAUUUCCUGCUUACUUUUAAAUCCUCCUUCAAGAUGCAUAUUUCAGUGCGAUUUUUCGUAUUCUCUUCGUGAGAGAAUGUAGCCCAUUUCUUUCCUUUUCAUAGGCUACACCUCGACCUGACGUUUUGGGCUGUGCCAAUUGUGCUUACUAUAGACCCCUCAGGGGGUAAGCUGACGACGGCGGUAUAUAGGCGGUAUCGGGCAAGAAAAGGUGAGGUUUAACGGGGGUUAUCGGUUUCAAGAACAGGCUCCUCUAGAUGGGUCUAAAGCACCGCCAAGUCCUUUGGGUUUCAAGCUAAUGCUCGUAGUUCCCGGGCGGAUAGUGGGUGU
RNAcentral lists this ribosomal RNA (367 nucleotides) under Plectropomus punctatus. Its description in RNAcentral is "partial 12S ribosomal RNA". The record is from RNAcentral. Lineage: Eukaryota; Metazoa; Chordata; Actinopteri; Perciformes; Serranidae.